AUCGCUUCUCGGCCUUUUGGCUAAGAUCAAGUGUAGUAUCUGUUCUUAUCAGUUUAAUAUCUGAUACGUCCUCUAUCCGAGGAAAGAAAUUAAAAAAAAAAAACAAAAAACUCAGCUUAACUCAUCCCUGAUCUCUUCUUUAACCCAA
RNAcentral lists this small nuclear RNA (148 nucleotides) under Bos mutus (wild yak). Its description in RNAcentral is "U2 spliceosomal RNA (ENSBMUG00000001459.1)". The stretch from base 1 to 108 matches the Rfam family "U2 spliceosomal RNA". From Rfam's summary of the family: U2 is a small nuclear RNA (snRNA) component of the spliceosome (involved in pre-mRNA splicing). Lineage: Eukaryota; Metazoa; Chordata; Mammalia; Artiodactyla; Bovidae. The record is from RNAcentral.